RNAcentral lists this transfer RNA (71 nucleotides) under Ornithorhynchus anatinus (platypus). It matches the Rfam family "tRNA". Rfam says of the family: Transfer RNA (tRNA) molecules are approximately 80 nucleotides in length. Their secondary structure includes four short double-helical elements and three loops (D, anti-codon, and T loops). Further hydrogen bonds mediate the characteristic L-shaped molecular structure. tRNAs have two regions of fundamental functional importance: the anti-codon, which is responsible for specific mRNA codon recognition, and the 3' end, to which the tRNAs corresponding amino acid is attached (by aminoacyl-tRNA synthetases). tRNAs cope with the degeneracy of the genetic code in two manners: having more than one tRNA (with a specific anti-codon) for a particular amino acid; and 'wobble' base-pairing, i.e. permitting non-standard base-pairing at the 3rd anti-codon position. The record is from Rfam by way of RNAcentral. Lineage: Eukaryota; Metazoa; Chordata; Mammalia; Monotremata; Ornithorhynchidae.
AGCAGCGUGGCUUAGUGAAAGAGCCUGGGCUUGGGAGUCAGAGAACAUGGGUGCGAAUCCCGACUCUGCCA